This 253-nucleotide ribosomal RNA is filed under the name uncultured bacterium. RNAcentral describes it as "partial 16S ribosomal RNA". It matches the Rfam family "Bacterial small subunit ribosomal RNA", at positions 524 to 776 of the family's 1533-position model. The record is from RNAcentral.
UACGAAGGGGGCUAGCGUUGCUCGGAAUUACUGGGCGUAAAGGGCGCGUAGGCGGCCAUUCAAGUCGGAGGUGAAAGCCCAGGGCUCAACCCUGGAAUUGCCUUCGAUACUGUUUGGCUAGAGACCGGAAGAGGUAAGUGGAACUGCGAGUGUAGAGGUGAAAUUCGUAGAUAUUCGCAAGAACACCAGUGGCGAAGGCGGCUUACUGGUCCGGUUCUGACGCUGAGGCGCGAAGGCCAGGGGAGCAAACGGG